GAUGAACGCUAGCGGCAGGCUUAAUACAUGCAAGUCGAACGGUAACAGGUCUUCGGACGCUGACGAGUGGCGCACGGGUGAGGAACACGUACACAAUCUACCUUAUACUGGAGAAUAGCCCCGGGAAACUGGGAUUAAUACUCCAUAGUCUUUAAUGAUCACAUGAGAAAUAAAGUAAAGCUUCGGCGGUAUGAGAUGAGUGUGCGUCCCAUUAGAUUGUUGGUGAGGUAACGGCUCACCAAGUCGACGAUGGGUAGCUGGCGUGAGAGCGCGACCAGCCACACUGGCACUGAGACACGGGCCAGACUCCUACGGGAGGCAGCAGUAGGGAAUAUUGGUCAAUGGACGAAAGUCUGAACCAGCCAUGCCGCGUGGAGGAUGACUGCCCUCUGGGUUGUAAACUCCUUUUAUAUGGGAAGAAACCUCUGGAUUCACUCCAGAGCUGACGGUAUCAUAUGAAUAAGCACCGGCUAACUCCG
This 479-nucleotide ribosomal RNA is filed under the name uncultured bacterium. RNAcentral describes it as "bacterial SSU rRNA". It matches the Rfam family "Bacterial small subunit ribosomal RNA", at positions 28 to 505 of the family's 1533-position model. The record is from RNAcentral.